This 321-nucleotide ribosomal RNA is filed under the name uncultured bacterium. RNAcentral describes it as "bacterial SSU rRNA". It matches the Rfam family "Bacterial small subunit ribosomal RNA", at positions 29 to 363 of the family's 1533-position model. The record is from RNAcentral.
AGCGAACGCUAGCGGCGGGCUUAACACAUGCAAGUCGAGCGCUUCACUUCGGUGAAGAGCGGCGGACGGGUGAGUAACACGUAGGUUACCUGCCCCUGGGUGAGGGACAACCGAGGGAAACCUCGGCUAAUACCACAUAUGGUCUACGGAUCAAAGGCUUCGGCCGCCCGGGGAGUGGGCCGUGCGUCCCAUUAUUUAAUCCUAGUUGGCGGGGUAACGGCCCACCAAGGGUACGAUGGGUAGCUGGUCUGAGAGGAUGAUCAGCCACACUGGAACUGAGACACGGUCCAGACUCCUACGGGAGGGCAGCAGUGGGGAAGU